AUGGUGGACAGCAAAGUCGCAUCAAAUCUGUCAUGCAAUUAAGAGCAGAUCUACGGCCUGUCUGUAUAUCCAAUAAGUAAUCUUUAGCACAUCUUCCGUUCGGGAUACUGUAUCUAAACAUGACGACACCCAUUAUUACAGCUAUAUAUUAUAAUAAUUUUGCAUAGUAUUUAUUUGCAAUUAGGUCCUCUGAUUAAGCUUAUAAAAUUAACCACCGCCUAUAUCGGCACCGAUGUCACAAUCAUCAGUUAGUGUCUACAACCAUAUAAUCUACUCUAUAAAUUAGGGAUGAGUGGAGUUAUUUAUCC
Molecule: long non-coding RNA, 308 nt
Filed under: Elaeis guineensis (African oil palm)
Lineage: Eukaryota; Viridiplantae; Streptophyta; Magnoliopsida; Arecales; Arecaceae
Description: long non-coding RNA (EGUI_LNC002736)
Source: RNAcentral